RNAcentral lists this ribosomal RNA (275 nucleotides) under uncultured bacterium. Its description in RNAcentral is "partial 16S ribosomal RNA". It matches the Rfam family "Bacterial small subunit ribosomal RNA", at positions 399 to 691 of the family's 1533-position model. The record is from RNAcentral.
GCGUGUGUGAUGAAGGCCCUAGGGUUGUAAAGCACUUUCGCCGAUGACGAUGAUGACGGUAGUCGGAUAAGAAGCCCCGGCUAACUCCGUGCCAGCAGCCGCGGUAAUACGGAGGGGGCGAGCGUUGUUCGGAAUUACUGGGCGUAAAGGGCGCGUAGGCGGUGACGCUAGUCAGACGUGAAAGCCCCGGGCUCAACCUGGGAGGUGCGUUUGAUACUGCGUUGCUUGAGAGCGGAAGAGGGUAGUGGAAUUCCCAGUGUAGAGGUGAAAUUCGU